AAUGAACGCUGGCGGCAGGCCUAACAUAUGCAAGUCGAACGGAUCCUUCGGGAUUAGUGGUGGACGGGUGAGUAACGCGUGGGAACAUACCCAAAGGUACGGAAUAGCCUCGGGAAACUGGGAGUAAUACCGUAUGUGCUCGAAAGAGGAAAGAUUUAUCGCCUUUGGAUUGGCCCGCGUUGGAUUAGGUAGUUGGUGGGGUAAUGGCCUACCAAGCCGACGAUCCAUAGCUGGUUUGAGAGGAUGAUCAGCCACACUGGGACUGAGACACGGCCCAGACUCCUACGGGAGGCAGCAGUGGGGAAUCUUAGACAAUGGGGGAAACCCUGAUCUAGCCAUGCCGCGUGAUCGAUGAAGGCCUUAGGGUUGUAAAGAUCUUUCAGGUGGGAAGAUAAUGACUGUACCACCAGAAGAAGCCCCGGCUAACUCCGUGCCAGCCGCCGCUGUAA
RNAcentral lists this ribosomal RNA (449 nucleotides) under uncultured bacterium. Its description in RNAcentral is "partial 16S ribosomal RNA". It matches the Rfam family "Bacterial small subunit ribosomal RNA", at positions 29 to 523 of the family's 1533-position model. The record is from RNAcentral.